RNAcentral lists this ribosomal RNA (200 nucleotides) under uncultured bacterium. RNAcentral's name for it is "partial 16S ribosomal RNA". It matches the Rfam family "Bacterial small subunit ribosomal RNA", at positions 30 to 228 of the family's 1533-position model. The record is from RNAcentral.
AUUGAACGCUGGCGGAAUGCUUUACACAUGCAAGUCGAGCGGCAGCACGGGAGCUUGCUCCUGGUGGCGAGUGGCGAACGGGUGAGUAAUGCAUCGGAACGUACCCAGUUAUGGGGGAUAACUAACCGAAAGGUUAGCUAAUACCGCAUACGCCCUGAGGGGGAAAGCGGGGGACCGUAAGGCCUCGCGUAAUUGGAGCG